GACGAACGCUGGCGGCGUGCUUAACACAUGCAAGUCGAACGCUGAAGCUUGGUGCUUGCACUGGGUGGAUGAGUGGCGAACGGGUGAGUAAUACGUGAGUAACCUGCCCUUGACUCUGGGAUAAGCCUGGGAAACUGGGUCUAAUACUGGAUACGACAUGUCACCGCAUGGUGGUGUGUGGAAAGGGUUUUACUGGUUUUGGAUGGGCUCACGGCCUAUCAGCUUGUUGGUGGGGUAAUGGCUCACCAAGGCGACGACGGGUAGCCGGCCUGAGAGGGUGACCGGCCACCCUGGGCCUGAGACACGGCCCAGACUCCUACGGGAGGCAGCAGUGGGGAAUAUUGCACAAUGGGCGGAAGCCUGAUGCAGCGACGCCGCGUGCGGGAUGACGGCCUUCGGGUUGUAAACCUCUUUCAGCACGGAAGAAGCGAAAGUGACGGUACGUGCAGAAGAAGCGCCGGCUAACUACGUG
RNAcentral lists this ribosomal RNA (472 nucleotides) under uncultured bacterium. RNAcentral's name for it is "partial 16S ribosomal RNA". It matches the Rfam family "Bacterial small subunit ribosomal RNA", at positions 28 to 507 of the family's 1533-position model. The record is from RNAcentral.